AUGGGAUGAGCCGACUCCGAGAAAGCCAAGUCAGCUCCAGAAGUUGGCGAGUCGACUCUGGGUCAAGACGAGUCGACUCCCAGUCGUGAAGGCAACUUUAAUUCAAAUCUGGAACAGUUGCAGAGUCGACUCCGGAAAAGUAUGAGUCGACUCCCGCUACAGACGAGUCGACUCCUGAUCGCGCGAGUCGACUCCAACCCACCAACGGACACAUUGUCAGACUGUACAGAGUGUGCAGAACGGGCAGAAAAAGCUCUCUAACGGCUAGUUUCC
Molecule: long non-coding RNA, 273 nt
Filed under: Phoenix dactylifera (date palm)
Lineage: Eukaryota; Viridiplantae; Streptophyta; Magnoliopsida; Arecales; Arecaceae
Description: long non-coding RNA (PDAC_LNC007238)
Source: RNAcentral